This 1449-nucleotide unclassified non-coding RNA is filed under the name Homo sapiens (human). RNAcentral describes it as "non-coding transcriptional coactivator CoAZ". Lineage: Eukaryota; Metazoa; Chordata; Mammalia; Primates; Hominidae. The record is from RNAcentral.
AUGAAGAUAUUCGUGGGCAACGUCGACGGGGCGGAUACGACUCCGGAGGAGCUGGCAGCCCUCUUUGCGCCCUACGGCACGGUCAUGAGCUGCGCCGUCAUGAAACAGUUCGCCUUCGUGCACAUGCGCGAGAACGCGGGCGCGCUGCGCGCCAUCGAAGCCCUGCACGGCCACGAGCUGCGGCCGGGGCGCGCGCUCGUGGUGGAGAUGUCGCGCCCAAGGCCUCUUAAUACUUGGAAGAUUUUCGUGGGCAAUGUGUCGGCUGCAUGCACGAGCCAGGAACUGCGCAGCCUCUUCGAGCGCCGCGGACGCGUCAUCGAGUGUGACGUGGUGAAAGGCUCUUGUCAGGAUGGUGAAGCUGUUCAUCGGAAACCUGCCCCGGGAGGCUACAGAGCAGGAGAUUCGCUCACUCUUCGAGCAGUAUGGGAAGGUGCUGGAAUGUGACAUCAUUAAGAAUUACGGCUUUGUGCACAUAGAAGACAAGACGGCAGCUGAGGAUGCCAUACGCAACCUGCACCAUUACAAGCUUCAUGGGGUGAACAUCAACGUGGAAGCCAGCAAGAAUAAGAGCAAAACCUCAACAAAGUUGCAUGUGGGCAACAUCAGUCCCACCUGCACCAAUAAGGAGCUUCGAGCCAAGUUUGAGGAGUAUGGUCCGGUCAUCGAAUGUGACAUCGUGAAAGAUUAUGCCUUCGUACACAUGGAGCGGGCAGAGGAUGCAGUGGAGGCCAUCAGGGGCCUUGAUAACACAGAGUUUCAAGGCAAACGAAUGCACGUGCAGUUGUCCACCAGCCGGCUUAGGACUGCGCCCGGGAUGGGAGACCAGAGCGGCUGCUAUCGGUGCGGGAAAGAGGGGCACUGGUCCAAAGAGUGUCCGAUAGAUCGUUCAGGCCGCGUGGCAGACUUGACCGAGCAAUAUAAUGAGCAAUACGGAGCAGUGCGUACGCCUUACACCAUGAGCUAUGGGGAUUCAUUGUAUUACAACAACGCGUACGGAGCGCUCGAUGCCUACUACAAGCGCUGCCGUGCUGCCCGGUCCUAUGAGGCAGUGGCAGCUGCAGCUGCCUCCGUGUAUAAUUACGCAGAGCAGACCCUGUCCCAGCUGCCACAAGUCCAGAAUACAGCCAUGGCCAGUCACCUCACCUCCACCUCUCUCGAUCCCUACGAUAGACACCUGUUGCCGACCUCAGGAGCUGCUGCCACAGCUGCUGCUGCAGCAGCAGCCGCUGCUGCUGUUACUGCAGCUUCCACUUCAUAUUACGGGCGGGAUCGGAGCCCCCUGCGUCGCGCUACAGCCCCAGUCCCCACUGUUGGAGAGGGCUACGGUUACGGGCAUGAGAGUGAGUUGUCCCAAGCUUCAGCAGCCGCGCGGAAUUCUCUGUACGACAUGGCCCGGUAUGAGCGGGAGCAGUAUGCCGAUCGGGCGCGGUACUCAGCCUUUUAAAGCUU